UGUGCAGCCACAAGACUCACUCCUCCCACUUCCUGCUUCCUCCCUGUCAGGCACUGAAUUCCCAACUGUCUCCACUUAUUCAAUAAUAACAGUAACGUCACUGCCACAACAGCAAGCAGGAAGAUGAUACAUGCAGAAGAAGUGACAAGCAGCUUCUUGUUUUUGCGUGGUCACUGCACCCAAACUGAUUGAACAGUCCUGACUCUGCUCAAGUUGCUGAAAUGCAUACAAAUAAUACUGUAAGGAGUUUAAAGAAGGAUAUUGGAGUGGUCUGCAGAAUAUGAGUGCUCCAGUGCAGCCACCUGACACCAGUGGCAGUGCACAGCAGCUGAACAAACCCUAGAAUUAUGUAAUGAUUAACAGAACCUUUUGCUUUAUUUUCUAGUGUACGUUAUUCCGUAUUUGUGAGCAGUUCAUACCCCUUUUGCUCUUAAACAUGUGGGAAAAACAGUAACACUAUAUUUGUUUAAGUGUUGCAUGAAAAUAUUAGAUACUUAUGUUUAAUAAUAUUUAAUGUUUAUACUUUCAAUCUCAAAGCAUAAAAGAUCCCACAGAGCUUAUUAGACACUGUAAAAUGACAAACAAAAUAUAUUUGAGGUCCAAACUCAACAGUGACAUGCAAUCAUCUCUAAUGGAUAAGAAAAACAGCUGAAUAACAGAAUACAGCAGUACCAAGUAAGAGUUCAGCUCUGUAAAUUAAUAAACUUUAUGGGAUGUGGUACUACUUUUUCACAAACUAUAUAUGAUCGUUAUUGACUCUGUGCUCUUUUUUGACUGUUUCUGGAAGACUAAACAUCUUAGAAUCGUAACAGAUAUAAGGGUGAGAGUGAAGCAUAUCCAGUCACUGACAUCUGAUCUUUACAUUCAUAUAUAAGCUUGUAUGGUUAGACGGAGUGUCUGUGCAUAUGCUUCUGUUUGGUGUUUUAUCAUGCCAUAUGUGCUUUGAGAGGCUGAUCCCUUGCAAGAGUUGUAACUAUUUUCUCUGAAAUUACUCAUUUGAAGUCAGUGUAGUAGAACACAAUCCUUGAGAAAGUGAAGUUAUAUCUAUCACUACCAUCGCUCUUGAAAUGUCUUGGAUCCUCUGCUAGAAAAAAUCUUUAGUGUGGCAGGGGUACCUGACCCAAAAACCUCACAAUCAAGAGUGAUACAAGCAAGGAGGGAUGUGAGCAGACAGGAAAGUACAGGAGAGUUAGACCAUACUGUCUUUGAUCAACUUCCAACUCUUGUCCUGUUAUUUGCAAGCUUUAUUGCAGUGAAAAUUCUAUAAAAGACAAAGAUGUACCUGCAUGGAUGUUUAAAGGACAGCACAAAGACACCUUUUCUGAAAAUCAAACUAGGUGCAAGAAAGUGUGAUAUUAUUGGGCAAUUUAGGUGAGCAAUAACUGGUUACAAAGAGUACAAAUUUAUUGAUGGAGUAAGUCAAGAAGCAUUUGAUAUUAUAGAGAACAGGGCCUAAGGGGAAACACAGAAAUACUCUCAAAUGUGAAGAUAAUACCUAGCUCUGGGUAUAAAUGACCCAUAAUGCUUUCCCUUUCAAACUGAGAAAGGAGAUAGCAGAGGUGAUUUGUUGCAGAAAAGGGAAAAAUUAAGAAUUUUAUUUUAAAAUUUUCCUUUUUAUUGAAUACCUUAUGAAAAAUUAUAGGACAGUUUUAUCAAAAAUUACGCCUUUGCAUUUUACUAGAAAUAAGAAGUAUUCUGGUGCCAGGAUUCCUGCCCAGUGGAACAAGACUGCCAUCUCGUGUUAAAUGUGUGCAAAUCUCAAGACUUACCUGCACUGUUCAUAGGCAAGGAAAGUGGGGGAGGGAGUGGAGGAAUGGUAUGUUCCCGGUGGAAAAGAUUGUCAAGGGUUCUCGGAAUUUUGUAUGCUUUGUAGUGUUUAACGCAUGUUCAGUAGGUCCAAAUGUCUCUGCUUGUUUCAGGCUUUACUAUGACGUAAACAAGAAUCUUUCAGGAAAUGUUCUACAACUUGAUGGAGAAGUCAGCUUGAACUGUACUUUAGAAACCAACUGCUGAAAUAGGUCAUUUCAGUAGAUGUUCUACAAAUAGUUAUUAGUUCAGGCAUGCUGUAUAGCAGAAGAGACAUGACCUUAGAUGUCACUUAUUUAUUUAUUCUAUUCCAGCUUAUCACUCAUUAGCAGUACAAUUAGGUAUUGACUAUGUAAUUCAGGUAAAAGUUUGCGGUCUAGGAAAUGCCCUCAUUAAAUUCCCUUCUUGGCUAUAAAACUCCUGUGUCUCUGGGCAAGGUCUGUGGCAUCAUAAAGGAUGUUUUGGGUGUUCAAUUCUGUUUCAUGCUAUCCAUGAAGCUAUCUUAUCAACCUCCUCCAAAGUCCUUUCUAAAACCCCUGCUCAACAGCAGCUAGAUUCCUAAGUCUAUAUGAGAACCUGGUCCUUGUUCUCUUUAUUUGGAAAAUGACCAUAUUCUUCUGUAUUUCACAGGAGUGUUGUGAGGAUCAACAUAUUAAAGACUAUGAGGAUUUGGGUACUCUAGUAGGAAAGGCCAUGCACGCUUUUCAGAAAGAUAUGAUGUUCAUGACCUAUACAUUCGUAUCAGCAUUAACUCAUAUAAGUGCAAUUAAGUCAUAACUGCUUAUCAUUUCAUAUUUGUUGUUCUCCUGCUUUAAUAUUUUCAGUUAUUGAACCUAGGGUAGAGACAAUGCCAACAGUCAAUUCAACAGUCAUCUAGCCAUAAUGAAUAUACCCAGUCCAAGAAAACAUUUUACAGAUGGUCCAUAACUGUGUUUAUACAAACAGUUUGAUGAAUAUUUGAGUGAUUCAACGUAUUUAUAUGGAUUAGGAAAGACUCACAAAUCCUUUUAUAUCUGAGAAAUGGCUUAAAUGUUUUAAAUGUUUAGCUUGAUCUG
Long non-coding RNA from Struthio camelus australis, 2861 nucleotides. RefSeq lists it as uncharacterized. NCBI's taxonomy places the organism in Eukaryota, Metazoa, Chordata, Aves, Struthioniformes, Struthionidae. The record is from RefSeq and is a predicted model, not a curated record.